CCUACGGGUGGCAGCAGUGGGGAAUAUUGGACAAUGGGCGAAAGCCUGAUCCAGCCAUGCCGCGUGUGUGAAGAAGGCCUUCGGGUUGUAAAGCACUUUCAGUGGGGAAGAAAGCCUUGGGGCUAAUACCCUCGAGGAAGGACAUCACCCACAGAAGAAGCACCGGCUAACUCCGUGCCAGCAGCCGCGGUAAUACGGAGGGGUGCGAGCGUUAAUCGGAAUUACUGGGCGUAAAGCGCGCGUAGGCGGUCUGAUAAGCCGGUUGUGAAAGCCCCGGGCUCAACCUGGGAACGGCAUCCGGAACUGUCAGGCUAGAGUGCAGGAGAGGAAGGUAGAAUUCCCGGUGUAGCGGUGAAAUGCGUAGAGAUCGGGAGGAAUACCAGUGGCGAAGGCGGCCUUCUGGACUGACACUGACGCUGAGGUGCGAAAGCGUGGGUAGCAAACAGGAUUAGAUACCCCGGUAGUC
Molecule: ribosomal RNA, 466 nt
Filed under: Vreelandella stevensii
Lineage: Bacteria; Pseudomonadati; Pseudomonadota; Gammaproteobacteria; Oceanospirillales; Halomonadaceae
Description: partial 16S ribosomal RNA
Rfam family: Bacterial small subunit ribosomal RNA
Source: RNAcentral